This 383-nucleotide ribosomal RNA is filed under the name uncultured eukaryote. RNAcentral describes it as "partial 18S ribosomal RNA". It matches the Rfam family "Eukaryotic small subunit ribosomal RNA", at positions 591 to 976 of the family's 1831-position model. The record is from RNAcentral.
CUGUAAGCGUAUACCAAAGUUGUUGCAGUUAAAACGCUCGUAGUCGGAAUUUGGCAGUUCCGGAAGUGUGCACGUCGUGUGCGCACUUUGCGGGGACUGCUUUUGUGGUCUUGCGUAGGAUGAGGCACUUUCAUUAGUGAACGUCCUCACGCAACCACUCUUUACUGUGAGAAAAUCAGAGUGCUCAAAGCAGGCAUUUGCCGUGAAUGUAUUAGCAUGGAAUAAUAGAAUAGGACUCGGUUCUAUUUUGUUGGUUUGUUGGGACUGAGUAAUGAUUAAGAGGGACAGUUGGGGGCAUUUGUAUUCCGGCGCUAGAGGUGAAAUUCUUAGAUUGCCGGAAGACAAACUGCUGCGAAAGCGUCUGCCAAGGAUGUUUUCAUUGA